UACGAAGGGGGCUAGCGUUGCUCGGAAUCACUGGGCGUAAAGGGUGCGUAGGCGGGUCUUUAAGUCAGGGGGGAAAUCCUGGAGCUCAACUCCAGAACUGCCUUUGAUACUGAGGAUCUUGAGUACGGGAGAGGUGAGUGGAACUGCGAGUGUAGAGGUGAAAUUCGUAGAUAUUCGCAAGAACACCAGUGGCGAAGGCGGCUCACUGGCCCGUAACUGACGCUGAGGCGCGAAAGCGUGGGGAGCAAACAGG
Molecule: ribosomal RNA, 253 nt
Filed under: uncultured bacterium
Lineage: Bacteria
Description: partial 16S ribosomal RNA
Rfam family: Bacterial small subunit ribosomal RNA
Source: RNAcentral